RNAcentral lists this ribosomal RNA (464 nucleotides) under uncultured bacterium. RNAcentral's name for it is "partial 16S ribosomal RNA". It matches the Rfam family "Bacterial small subunit ribosomal RNA", at positions 339 to 795 of the family's 1533-position model. The record is from RNAcentral.
CUACGGGUCGCAGCAGCUAAGAAUCUUCCGCAAUGGGCGAAAGCCUGACGGAGCGACGCCGCGUGGGUGAAGAAGGCCGAGAGGUUGUAAAGCCCUUUUCUGUCUGAGGAAUAAGCCUGGGAGGGAAUGCCCGGGUGAUGACGGUAAGACAGGAAUAAGCCCCGGCUAAUUACGUGCCAGCAGCCGCGGUAACACGUAUGGGGCGAGCGUUGUUCGGAAUCAUUGGGCGUAAAGGGCGCGUAGGCGGAGAUGCAAGUCUGGUGUGAAAUACCGCAGCUUAACUGCGGGACCGCGCUGGAAACUGCAUAUCUUGAGUUCCGGAGGGGGAGUUGGAAUUCCUGGUGUAGGGGUGAAAUCUGUUGAUAUCAGGAAGAACACCGGUGGCGAAGGCGAACUCCUGGACGGAAACUGACGCUGAGGCGCGAAAGCGUGGGGAGCGAACAGGAUUAGAUACCCGUGUAGUC